RNAcentral lists this ribosomal RNA (243 nucleotides) under uncultured beta proteobacterium. RNAcentral's name for it is "partial 16S ribosomal RNA". The record is from RNAcentral. Lineage: Bacteria; Pseudomonadati; Pseudomonadota; Betaproteobacteria.
AGGGUGCAAGCGUURUYCGGAAUUAUUGGGCGUAAAGSGUGCGYAGGCGGUUUAUUAAGUCAGUGGUGAAAUCCUGKGGCUCAACUUCGGAACUGCCKUUGAUACUGGUAGACUAGAGURAGGUAGAGGURGGUGGAAUUCCAGUGUAGCGGUGAAAUGCGUAGAUAUURGGAAGAACACCGAUGGCGAAGGCAGCUCACUGGGCCUACUGACGCUGCAGCACGAAAGCGUGGGGAGCAAACG